UUUCAAAAACAUUGUCUUAUGAACAUAAUAUUAGAUAAUACCUGCCCAGUGACACUAAGUUCAACGGCCGCGGUAUCCUAACCGUGCAAAGGUAGCAUAAUCAUUUGCCUAUUAAUUGUAGGCUAGAAUGAAAGGGUUAACGAAAUAAAAGCUGUCUCAAUUAAUUAACUAAAAAUUAUUUUCUAUCUGAAGAAAGGUAGAUAUUCUCGAAGGACAAGAAGACCCUAUAGAGCUUAAUUUUAAUUAUAGGAUUAAACUAUAUAAAUAUUCGGUUGGGGCGACCCAGGGCUAAUUCAUCACCCACUAAACAAAAGAUAUAUAAAUCUAAUAAAUGAACCUCUAAAGAUCAUAAAAACAAGCUACCUUAGGGAUAACAGGCUAAUCCCACUUAAGAGUCCUUAUCAAUAGUGGGGUUUGGCACCUCGAUGUUGGCUUAGGGUAUCUCUAUAGCGCAAAAGUUAUAUAAAGAUGGUUUGUUCAACCAGUAAUUCCCUACGUGAUCUGGUU
RNAcentral lists this ribosomal RNA (507 nucleotides) under Amynthas sp. FJ201111-09. RNAcentral describes it as "partial 16S ribosomal RNA". It matches the Rfam family "Bacterial large subunit ribosomal RNA", at positions 1805 to 2610 of the family's 2925-position model. Lineage: Eukaryota; Metazoa; Annelida; Clitellata; Crassiclitellata; Megascolecidae. The record is from RNAcentral.